UACGUAGGGACCAAGCGUUGUUCGGAUUUACUGGGCGUAAAGGGCGCGUAGGCGGCAAUUCAAGUCAGCUGUGAAAUCUCUGGGCUUAACCCAGAACGGCCAGCUGAUACUGCUUUGCUAGAGUGCAGAAGGGGCAAUCGGAAUUCUCGGUGUAGCGGUGGAAUGCGUAGAUAUCGAGAGGAACACCUGAGGUGAAGACGGGUUGCUGGGCUGACACUGACGCUGAGGCGCGAAAGCCAGGGGAGCAAACGGG
Molecule: ribosomal RNA, 253 nt
Filed under: uncultured bacterium
Lineage: Bacteria
Description: partial 16S ribosomal RNA
Rfam family: Bacterial small subunit ribosomal RNA
Source: RNAcentral